GUCCCAUGGCAGGUCCUUUGGCUGACAGGCCAUCAUGUGUUAUUAAAGCAGUCUGCUUCUGUGCUAGUCUAUCAAAUUGAUUUUUAUUUUCCUAUCGGUUGCGAUGGUUGCAGAUGUAGCUUAUCAGUAUCGUGAUAACAUGUUAUCACAUAGAAUAAAGUUAUGCAAAUUUGUUAAUCAUAAGUAGUUCUUGCAGACAGCUAUCCCGAUAACUUCUCAUUUAAAUCUUUCUCCAGGUGGUGUUUUGUCUUUACAUGCUUUCAGCUUUGGGACGGUUGGUGUCAGGUCUUACAGUUGCCUAUGCUGGAUUAUGCUUGUUUUGCCUUUAUAUGCUAGCUGAGAACAGUCAGUCAAUCAGUGCAUGUUUGUCUCGAUUUCUGAGGAGAACGAAUGAUCUAGCGGAGGAAGAUGCUGCAGAGCAAGAUACUAUGUAGCUUAUGUUUUCUGUAACCUCCAUGUACAAUGAAUCUUUGUAUUUUUGUGUGUGGGUGUAUUUCGAGCUACUCAUAGUAUCUGUGUACAUAUGACUUUGUGCAUGACCCCGAUUGGGGUGGUACAAUAUUGUUAACCAAGAGAUACAAUUUUAUGAUACAAACUGUUGAAUAAUUGACACCAUUGCUGAAUAAAUGCCCGUCAUUAGUGUUUGCUACAA
Non-coding RNA from Prunus avium (sweet cherry), 652 nucleotides. NCBI's taxonomy places the organism in Eukaryota, Viridiplantae, Streptophyta, Magnoliopsida, Rosales, Rosaceae. The record is from RefSeq and is a predicted model, not a curated record.